This is a small nuclear RNA of Exaiptasia diaphana, 106 nucleotides long. RefSeq annotates it as U5 spliceosomal RNA. The record is from RefSeq and is a predicted model, not a curated record. NCBI's taxonomy places the organism in Eukaryota, Metazoa, Cnidaria, Anthozoa, Actiniaria, Aiptasiidae. The transcript has a single exon.
CGUGUCUGUUUUUUCUACGAGCGCGCAUAUAUCUUUCGCCUUUUGCUAAAGAUAUCCGUGUAGAGGAAUGGCACGAUGAGUUUGUGAAGUAAUUUUCUUCUUGCUC